Molecule: ribosomal RNA, 195 nt
Filed under: Triticum aestivum (bread wheat)
Lineage: Eukaryota; Viridiplantae; Streptophyta; Magnoliopsida; Poales; Poaceae
Description: partial small subunit ribosomal RNA
Source: RNAcentral
AUGGCCGGCGCUGGAUCGAGCUCAUCCGUACCCAAAGAAGGAGGCUUUCACUUGAUGAGUUGCCUAAAAGAAGUUCCGACACUCAGAGGUGACAACCACACUGAGUGGAGGAAGAAUUUCAACUGGCAUUUGUUUGUGCUGAUCUGGACUGGGUUCUGGAUGAACCAUAGCUGGUCAGACCUACAGAGCCAGUAA